GAUGAAGAACGUAGCGAAAUGCGCUAAGUAAUGUGAAUUGCAGAAUUCAGUGAAUCAUCGAAUCUUUGAACGCACAUUGCGCCCGCUAGUAUUCUGGCGGGCAUGCCUGUCCGAGCGUCAUUUCAACCCUCAAGCCCCCGGGCUUGGUGUUGGGGAUCGGCGAGCCUCCGCGCCCGCCGUCCCCUAAAUCUAGUGGCGGUCUCGCUGUAGCUUCCUCUGCGUAGUAGCACACCUCGCACUGGGAAACAGCGCGGCCACGCCGUUAAACCCCCAACUUCUGAACGUUUGACCUCGGAUCAGGUAGGAAUACCCGCUGAACUUAAGCAUAUCAAUAAGCGGAGGA
This 343-nucleotide unclassified non-coding RNA is filed under the name soil metagenome. RNAcentral describes it as "partial contains 5.8S ribosomal RNA, internal transcribed spacer 2, and large subunit ribosomal RNA". The stretch from base 1 to 120 matches the Rfam family "5.8S ribosomal RNA", at positions 35 to 154 of the family's 154-position model. The record is from RNAcentral.